This 478-nucleotide ribosomal RNA is filed under the name uncultured bacterium. RNAcentral's name for it is "bacterial SSU rRNA". It matches the Rfam family "Bacterial small subunit ribosomal RNA", at positions 30 to 507 of the family's 1533-position model. The record is from RNAcentral.
CGAACGCUGGCGGCGUGCUUAAUACAUGCAAGUCAACUUGACUUUAGAUAGCAAUAUCGAAAAGUAGGGUGGCGCACGGGUGCGUAACGCGUAGGUAAUCUGCCCUGAGGUCUGACAUAACCCGUCGAAAGGCGGGCUAACAUCAGAUGAUAUAUAAUCACGACAUCGUGGAAAUAUCAAAUCUUCGGAGCCUUGGGAUGAGCCUGCGUCUGAUUAGGUAGUUGGCGGAGUAAUAGCCCACCAAGCCUACGAUCAGUAGCUGGUCUGAGAGGAUGAUCAGCCACACUGGAACUGAGACACGGUCCAGACUCCUACGGGGGGCAGCAGUAAGGAAUAUUGCUCAAUGGGGGAAACCCUGAAGCAGCAACGCCGCGUGAAGGAUGAAAUACUUUUAUAUGCAAACUUCUGUAAGAUGGGAAAAAUAUUCUCCUCGGGAGAAUUGAUUGUACCAUCAGAGUAAGCCCCGGCUAACUACGUG